GUGCUCUUUUCAGUAGCACAUACUAAAAUUGGAACGAUACAGUGAAGAUUAGCAUGGCCCCUGUGCAAGGAUAACAGGCAAAUUCGUGAUGCAUUCCAUAUUCUC
Molecule: small nuclear RNA, 105 nt
Filed under: Pongo abelii (Sumatran orangutan)
Lineage: Eukaryota; Metazoa; Chordata; Mammalia; Primates; Hominidae
Source: RNAcentral